Molecule: ribosomal RNA, 909 nt
Filed under: Staphylococcus sp.
Lineage: Bacteria; Bacillati; Bacillota; Bacilli; Caryophanales; Staphylococcaceae
Description: bacterial SSU rRNA
Rfam family: Bacterial small subunit ribosomal RNA
Source: RNAcentral
CUAGCAAGUCGAGCGAACAGACGAGGAGCUUGCUCCUUUGACGUUAGCGGCGGACGGGUGAGUAACACGUAGGUAACCUACCUAUAAGACUGGGAUAACUUCGGGAAACCGGAGCUAAUACCGGAUAAUAUUUCGAACCGCAUGGUUCGAUAGUGAAAGAUGGCUUUGCUAUCACUUAUAGAUGGACCUGCGCCGUAUUAGCUAGUUGGUAAGGUAACGGCUUACCAAGGCAACGAUACGUAGCCGACCUGAGAGGGUGAUCGGCCACACUGGAACUGAGACACGGUCCAGACUCCUACGGGAGGCAGCAGUAGGGAAUCUUCCGCAAUGGGCGAAAGCCUGACGGAGCAACGCCGCGUGAGUGAUGAAGGUCUUCGGAUCGUAAAACUCUGUUAUUAGGGAAGAACAAACGUGUAAGUAACUGUGCACGUCUUGACGGUACCUAAUCAGAAAGCCACGGCUAACUACGUGCCAGCAGCCGCGGUAAUACGUAGGUGGCAAGCGUUAUCCGGAAUUAUUGGGCGUAAAGCGCGCGUAGGCGGUUUUUUAAGUCUGAUGUGAAAGCCCACGGCUCAACCGUGGAGGGUCAUUGGAAACUGGAAAACUUGAGUGCAGAAGAGGAAAGUGGAAUUCCAUGUGUAGCGGUGAAAUGCGCAGAGAUAUGGAGGAACACCAGUGGCGAAGGCGACUUUCUGGUCUGUAACUGACGCUGAUGUGCGAAAGCGUGGGGAUCAAACAGGAUUAGAUACCCUGGUAGUCCACGCCGUAAACGAUGAGUGCUAAGUGUUAGGGGGUUUCCGCCCCUUAGUGCUGCAGCUAACGCAUUAAGCACUCCGCCUGGGGAGUACGACCGCAAGGUUGAAACUCAAAGGAAUUGACGGGGACCCGCACAAGCGGUGGAGCAUGUGG